CUAUUUAGCUAUCACAAAACUUGGAAAAGAAUGAACAAGGCAACAUUCUUUAAGAUUUUCUUGGUCUCCUUUUUACUUAUUUUGUUAGGACAAGGAAGCAACGCUGCGUGCUCAAGUGAUGACGAUUGUGUUAGGUGGUAGAUUGCAUAGACCUAAAUCCCAUAUGUGAUGAAACAAACAGGUGCCGCUGUCCAGGAAAACCACCAGCAACUAAUUAUAAUAAUGGACGACCUAAAAGAGUUCACAAGACAAACCAAAAGUAAUUUAUGUCUGUUAUUCUGUAAAAUUGAAUCAUGAUUUGUGUUGUUGUUUUUCAUUUUAAUAAGGUUCAAUCCAAUAAUAAGGUCUUUUGUUGAUGUUGGAAAA
Long non-coding RNA from Capsicum annuum, 366 nucleotides. RefSeq lists it as uncharacterized. The record is from RefSeq and is a predicted model, not a curated record. The transcript has 2 exons. Lineage: Eukaryota; Viridiplantae; Streptophyta; Magnoliopsida; Solanales; Solanaceae.